Molecule: ribosomal RNA, 253 nt
Filed under: uncultured bacterium
Lineage: Bacteria
Description: partial 16S ribosomal RNA
Rfam family: Bacterial small subunit ribosomal RNA
Source: RNAcentral
CACGUAGGGUGCAAGCGUUGUCCGGAAUUAUUGGGCGUAAAGGGCUCGUAGGCGGUCCGUCACGUCGGGAGUGAAAACUCGGGGCUCAACCCCGAGCCUGCUUCUGAUACGGGCAGACUAGAGGUAUGCAGGGGAGAACGGAAUUCCUGGUGUAGCGGUGAAAUGCGCAGAUAUCAGGAGGAACACCGGUGGCGAAGGCGGUUCUCUGGGCAUUACCUGACGCUGAGGAGCGAAAGUGUGGGGAGCGAACAGG